Molecule: transfer RNA, 65 nt
Filed under: Celyphus obtectus
Lineage: Eukaryota; Metazoa; Arthropoda; Insecta; Diptera; Celyphidae
Description: tRNA-Leu
Source: RNAcentral
GCUAUUUUGGCAGAUUAGUGCAAUAAAUUUAGAAUUUAUAUAUGUAAUUAUUAUUACAAAUAGUA